GACGAACGCUGGCGGCGUGCUUAACACAUGCAAGUCGAACGGAAAGGCCUCUUUCGGGGGGUACUCGAGUGGCGAACGGGUGAGUAACACGUGAGUAACCUGCCCUUGACUUUGGGAUAACUUCAGGAAACUGGGGCUAAUACCGGAUAGGAGCUCCUGCUGCAUGGUGGGGGUUGGAAAGUUUCGGCGGUUGGGGAUGGACUCGCGGGGUAUCAGCUUCUUGGUGGGGUAGUGGCUUACCGAGGCUUUGACGGGUAGCCGGCCUGAGAGGGUGACCGGCCACAUUGGGACUGAGGUACGGCCCAGGCACCUACGGGAGGCAGCAGUGGGGAAUAUUGCCCAAUGGGUGGAGGCCUGAUGCAGCAACGCCGUGUGCGGGAUGACGGCCUUCGGGUUGUAAACCGCUUGCGCUCAUGACGAAGCUUUGUGUGACGGUAGUGGGUAAAGAAGCACCGGCUAACUACGUG
Molecule: ribosomal RNA, 467 nt
Filed under: uncultured bacterium
Lineage: Bacteria
Description: partial 16S ribosomal RNA
Rfam family: Bacterial small subunit ribosomal RNA
Source: RNAcentral